Molecule: long non-coding RNA, 12370 nt
Organism: Bombus huntii
Lineage: Eukaryota; Metazoa; Arthropoda; Insecta; Hymenoptera; Apidae
Exons: 3
Source: RefSeq, a predicted model, not a curated record
CGACCUUAUUACGCCAUUUUGGUGAUUGUCGCUCUUCCUAUUUUAUGAAACAUAGUACGUACAACGUACAAUCUGACGAUCUUAUUAAACGAAUCCUAUGAUAUCUUCAGUUUAUUAAAAAUUGAUCAAUCAAACGUACCAUCAAAUCUCUAAAACUCUUUCACACGGUCGAGAGGAUUUCGAUGUUCGGAAAAUGCAAAGCAAUCGUGGCAUUCAAAGUGCAAAGCAUUCUGCGUUCGACACAGAUUAAAUCCAACCGUAUUGAAACGAAAUUCCUUUGUUGCUCGUUGAACCCGGUGCAAGCGUCUUCAAAGGGGCGCACGUAUUUAGACAUUAUAAUUUUUUCACAGUGGAAGGGAAUCAGGAAUCGAUUAAGGUAUAAGUUUUAUGAGAGGAAAGAGAGAUCGGUUGGAAGAGUGGAACGAGCUCGCUCGGCGCUUUUCCAUCGUCAUUUUUAUCGGCGCGGAUAAGACAGCCGGGCUAAUUCGCAUUCCCCUUGAUGUCUGCCGGAGUUAACAGUUUUAAGGGAUGAAACGAGUAUAGAUCGAAGGCUGGAAGCAUCGCGAAGGCGAAGGAAGACGAUGCUUAAGAAGGGAGAAGACACGCAGGUUAGGGGCGACGACGAGAAAAGGAGACGAAGCAAGAAAUUGAUACAGCAUACGAAAAUGAAUUGCCCCUUUGCCGAAGAAUGUUCCACGGCAAUCUGCCUUGUGCCUCGCUUUCUUAUACUUUUUAUGCUCAUUUUCAAUUUUCCCCAUACUGCCGAUCCACCGGGCUCUCCUAUAAAACGUUGCGGUAACGUGUCACUCGCGUCUCCCACUUGCACUUUUAUUCUUUCCAACGAUGACAGGAUGAAUACAAACUGACUCAUUAUUUCCGCCGCCUUGUUUCACGUUGCGAUCGAAAAUGGAUUAUGUAUAUGAUUCUAGGUAUUCAAUUAACGAAUUCAUUAUUCCUGGAGGAAGAUCUAUCGUUUUAUGGAGAGAUAGCAUUUUUUAUUUUAUUGGAAAUUCCAUGAAAAUGUUGGUUUGUAGACUGAUCAGUCCAAGUAAAAUUAUUUACGACUGCAAAUUAUCGAUCUACUGAUUUAUCAUUUUUUUCAUUCUUUUCUUUUUUGUCGUUAAUGAAAUCUACCUUUAAAUACUCUUUAUAGAGAAACGAGUAGAUCUAAUCAUGCAAUUUUCUUAAUAUUCCUGGUAUAAUUUAAUUCACAAAUCUAAAGGUACUACGUAUUCCAUGGAAUCUAGAAAUUUUGGAAAACCAUCUGUAAAAAAGACACGCAAAAUUUUGUACCGAUUUACCUUCUUACACCUUCUUUAUUUAAUCUACCCAAUUUAAUCUAUCAAAUGUGUAAUCUAUAUCCGUAGAAUCUUUUUCUAAUUUCUAUCCCUGUGUCUACCCUUUAAAAUACUAACGUAUAUUCAAAGACGACCGCGUACAUUAAUCACCAUGAUCGACGCAUAUACAUAUAUACAACGUGUAACAAGUACAAUUAAAACAUGACAGGCAGACAAUGAUAAGAAUCCGAAUCGAAUUUAAAACGACGUCCUGGCAGGAUGGCGGGGUCGAAGAAGAUAAAUUUCAGCCCGUGGAUGCGAAAUCAAGGCUCGAGUAUCUAAAGUGCUUCCAAGACGAGUCGUUGCUGGUGCGAGAUAGGGCCAUGUUCGUUCCGUUGCUUAUUUGUCGCUGGAGAAACGAAACGACUGGGGGAAAUGGUGAGUCGGUUCUGGGGGUGGAGUUGAAGUUGGGGAUUCUUCGAUACGGUACAAAUAACACUUGCAGACACCGAUUCCACUUUCUCUCGUUUUCUCUCUUUCUCUGUUGCGCGUAGAAGGAGCAACUCCAGAUUCUUCCAUUCGCCUCGGGACUCUUCCAUUCGUGGUUCGAUGGCUUCGUAGAUGCUAUCGCUAAGAAGGAAUUCGGAAUCCUAAGAAUACCGCGAUCGCGAUACUGUCUUUUACUUGCGAUACUUUUCUCUUGACUACGAAUAGCUUUAAAUUUUAAUUCAACUUGUUUCGAUUAAAUGAACGAAAGGCUCGUUAGAAAUUAUAAUUGCGAGUUUCAUCGUAUUGCAUGAUUUAAAAAAGAAGAAGAGACAUUUGCAAAUAUAUUGUAUGAAAUUAUUCGUCCACUCCCCCCACAGUUAGAAGCAUCGGACGAAGCAAUCUCGUUCGUUCAGCACGAAGCAUUUUUGGAGCGUUCUUAAAGUAUUCUUAAAGCAUUCUUAGAGCACUGGAAUGUUUGAUUUCUAAAUCGAGCAAUCUCCAAACGACAGGUUCCCCUUUUACACUUUCGUUUUACUUUAUUGUACGCAGAAUUAGAGUGACAAAAAGAAAAGAGGAUUUUAAACAUUCACGAAUAUAAAUACUUUUUAUUAUAUUAUUCGAAAAUUGUGUAUUGUUGAAUAAUAGAGUAGGUCACGUGUGCUAUACCUGGAAGAUCGACACAAUAAUUCAAUUACUAUCAAAGCGUGACGAAUUGAUGCAUUUCGUUAACCGUUAUAAUCAGCUUUAGCGAACCAGAAGAGAUUAAGCGGUUGCGAAAAUUUCGGUAGAGCGAGGCUGAAUUAUUUAGCAGCGCGGAAGAACGUAUCGGUGGUAAGCAGCAAGCACUUCCUAUUUCCGUUCCGUAAGCCUCCUUGCCUUUUUGUCCCGCUCGACAACAAUGGACCGCCUCGAUUUCCAGCGCGGAAACGCGUUUCCUACAGUUGCUUGAGCCGAUUCCGCCGUCAGCAAGGAGGCAAGCGAAGAAAAAGCAUCGAUCUUGGGGAAAAAAGCGACGCGGGUUCCGAAUACCUGGUACCUACGGCGCUGGAAAAAAUAUGGGAAACCCCAUCCUUGGAAAAGAAGUGGGGGCGGCCGUGAAGGAUGGGGUGGUUACCGUGCGAUACGUGGGUAUAAUAUUUCAAUGCUCGCCGGAGCCUGUCCGGCAAGGCUCGUCUCUCGCUGCCAUCUCUGUCAAGUAAUGUUAUUAUAAUUAUACGCGUGUGUGCUUGGUCGGUCAUUUCUUGUGCCCGUCCAUCCCCACUUCCACACGCCACCCCUUUGUCUGUCUUUCUCUUCUUUCACCUUUUCCGUCACCAGCGCCGAGCUGCCUGCCUCUUCUGUCGCCUCUCUUCUCCUUUUUACCUCGCCUUUCUCGUCCCUCUGCUCUCUGUUCGACGUUCUCUAUGCCCGGGUAUUGUGCAAUUAAAAUGUCGUAAUUGUCCUUUGGAAUUUAUCUUGAAAUUCGUCGCUCGCCAGCCUUUCAUCUCCCCCGUACUCGCUGUUUCGCGAUACUCGUUUGGAUAGAGAUAUCGAACCGUCGAAUCGUCGAUAUGAAACGUUACAGGCGUUUAAAGCGAUAACGCAAUAUUACACCUCUUAUCUGCUCGAUAUACGAUAAAAUUCCUUCCUACGUAUCUCCAUCGAAUAAAAUUUAUUCCUUUCCUGAAACUAUUCCGUUACCUUCUUCACAAACUUUACAAGAAUAAAGUUGUAUUCAUUCGAAAGUAUCCAGUAUGAAGUAUUUUGCUAACACUUGCACAUUUAAAAACAAUAGUACAUAUUUAUCGUCAAAGAGGAUAGGUAAUAGCGGGGAUCGAAGAAGCUUCUUGGUUGAAACGGAUGUUCGUUGUAUCCGCAUUCUUGGACGGCAGCAGGUCCACCAGCGGAGGCAGCCUCGGUCGAUACUUACCCCGCGACGAAAGGCCGCCGAGGAGAUAAAACCGGAUGGUGUGUAUGUAUGCGAUCACCUGAAUUUCAGAAUUGCAAAUUCUUUAAUUCACGGGGACGCAAUGGCGGCGACGGCAGCCGCCGCGGUUUGCGACAGUGGUGCCCGCCAGCAAAAUACCUUCGCCUGACCUAUACAAACAUCGCGGGAGACGAGGGAUGUGUAUUCAAAAAUUUACAUAGGUACAUUUUGAUUAAAGUGUCCUAGAAAGCAAAUCUAAUACAGCAGCCGGCCCGUACCUACAUGCCGUACCCCCUCGUCCUUCUCUCUUUCCCUUUUUACUCCCGUUUCCCUCUUCCCCGUGUUCUUCUCUUUCGCGCCGUCUCUUCUCUCACGCCCCUUCUAUCUAUAGAGGGAAAGAGCGGAGCGCGCGGAAUUGCGGAGAGGAUUAUUACGUAUCCUUCGGAAACUUUCCGCUGGACGGAGAAUUGGAUCCGGACGAAGUAUGAAAGGACUGAAUGUUUCACGGACGCGUCUAUUAUAUCAUGAUAAUCUCGGGAUUUAUUACUUGGUGCUGGGCUUAUUUUGACGGCGGCGUGAUGCAUUAAGCGACUCGCAAGUGGAAAAUGAUACGCGCGAAUGUUAAAUCUCUGAGGACCGUAAUUAAAAGAAUGCCCCGGGUGAUCAACGAACGCUGAUCGUUUCCUCGUCCAAAUUUUUACUUACCUCCGAACUUUAUGUCGAACUUCGUCAUUUAUUGUCGUACAGUUUGUUCUUGCAAAAUGCGGUGUCUUUAAGUACGGUUAUCAGUAGGUUGAAUGUACUUGUGCAUUUAUGAGAAUUUUGAUGAUUUAGGAACAUAUAGAACGCGUGUAAAGUAUCCAAAUACUUCUACUGUGUUUACAAGUUGAUCUUAUAAAAAUGUGUUCAUAAAAAGUAUACAUUCGCAUUUCAUUACAGCCUUAAUGAAAUCUCAAGAUGUUCCGUAUAACGCUGUGGACAGAAAAGUUCUCCUUCAUAAGCGUUAGAAUACUUUCGUGAGCAAUUGUACGUAAUACUUGACGCAGUAAAAUUAGAUACAACGGAAUCUAUUCCAACGAGAACUUAACGUCGCGGGUAUAAAAGGCUAGGUCCUUUGCAUCCUCGUGCGCCGAUUGGAUUUGCCAAUUAAUUGCCGACGAGGGAUAAAGCCGGCGGACCGUGGAUGAAAGAAUAACGACGCGGAAACGAAACGAAAUUUAAAUAUUCUCGCGGUAUUGCCGACAUUCCUCUGAGCCUCCCCGGCUCACAGGAAGGGAGGAGCGCGAGCUCGGUGUAAUUGCAAAAUUGCAUUAGCUUUGUGUUCUUCUGCCGUUCGCCCAGACGUAAGAGAUACGCAUGUAGAGAGCGUUGCAUCAGAUGAUUCAUAUGGAUUUUCAUGUUUCCCUUCCACCACCCCAUCCAGCGAUAAGUAUCGUUCUUUCAGACCGACGGACCGACGGCCGAAGCGAGAUAAAUCUUUCGUAGAUUUUUGUGAACGCCAAGGGAAUCAUUAUUGCGAGUGCUGAUCACCUAGCCUUUUAAUUAUGGAAAUGUACGGAACGCUUCCUGGAUGUUAGGAGAUACGAAACGUCCGCCGAAUGUGUGUCUGAUAAAGUACAUGCACUUUGAUAAAAUACAGACACGUAUCGGAGCUUCGUUAUUAUUCGCACGAAGCAUCGUUGGAAAAGGUAAUCUCCUUGAAAAGAUAUUUUCUCGGUGUAUCCAAAAUGCAUAUUUAACCUAAUAAAGAAAAAUAUCAUAGUUAUAUAACUGUUCCUAGAACUAUAUGCUUAAACGUGUGUACUAUAUAAUGUACUAAUAUCAAAAAAUGCUAUAUAAUAUAUAUAAUCGAUUAAUAAUUGAUCCUCUAAGUCUAUUUAGUUAGGUCUAUUAAGUAAUUAAUUGUUCCCCAGCGUAUUUUCUGAAUAGUUCAAUUAUUAGGAAAUUUUUCUUUAUUCGAUAAAUAGAGAAAGAAGAUUUGCAAGAUCCAUUGCAAUUACUAAUUCACGCAAUAGUAGCCUUAUACUGAAAAGUUAGAAUUACAACCAACGCAACCUACCCGAUUCGCUGUUUCGUCUUAUGCGUUCUUUUUCCAGGAAGCUCCUCGAUAUAUAAAUAAAAAACAAACGGAAGAUAGUCCGUUUCGAGUAAUCGUCGUUCCUUCGAAGAUCUUCCGGUGAACUCUUAAAAAAAUCUGUUAUUCGUAGAAAUUAGCGAACGGCUAAAAAAGAACACGAUAAAUCUAGGGAAAAGAUCCCGCUGUCAGAGGAACGCGCGUAAGGACGAAUCACGGUGGUUCGCAACGAGUCGUACAUUAUGAUUUAAUGCUAACACUGUGGUAAUGUCGUCAGAGGAUUUCUACGUAUAAAUAAUUCGCGUGUCCGGACACCCAACCCCGAGGAUCUCGAGUCAGGAUGGACAAGGGUGGAGAAAGCAGAGGCGGAGAAAGAGGUCGCCAGAGGGUGGAGCAGGGGUGGCAGGUUUUUAAUGCGGCAUCUCUGGGGGCGACGAGGAUUACCAAGGCUAAAAAGGAAGUUUUUAAUAAUUUUUCAUUUUCUCUAUAUUUAUUAUCGCGCGCUUCCUAACCGGAGGGGGGCCGCUGGAGACAAUGGAGGGUUGGUACACUGGUCCGUCGUCCAGGGCUCUAUAGGAAACAGCAAGGGGCGAAUUCACGAUUGUCAGUCGUCGUUGUAAAAUUUUCAUUCGUUUUGUCCUGGCUCUUUUAUGCCCAGGUCUUGGUUGUUUUCGAUCUUGCUUAUGUAAAGUCGUCAUUUAAUACACAACUUGAUUUAACGAAACUUCUCAAUAAUUUCUAAUUAAAUAUGAAAACGAGCAGGUCGAAUACGAAAAACCACUUCUUUUUGUUCAUAACAUUGUGUUUAUGCAUCGAUACUUUUAUUUUGCCUGAUUAUUAAUAUUUGUGGGGAUGGGAAUUUGAUGUGAAUAAUUAUCGGGAAAGUCGAGAGUUUAAUAUUAAAGAGGAAGAAUAACGUAAAUUCAUCCAAGGAUUUAAAUGGGCGAGAUUGAAUGUAUUCUGAAUUCAUCUACGUAGUUUGUUUGGAUAUGAUUUAUUAUGUAAUAGUUAUUCGUAAUUAUUGAACGCAGUUAAUUAUCAAUGGCUAUUGUAUAGAACAAUUGCAUCAUUGAGUAGUUUUAUUUUGUAUUGGCCUGUAAUAAACUACUAUUAUAUUUAACAAUUGCUUGUAGUAUGUUUAGUUAUAAUUUUAUAUUUUCAUGUUUAUUUUCUAGGGAUGAUAAUCUGUUAUCGUUCUGAAGAUAGCGUAAUCGAUAUUUCUACAAGUUAUUUCUUUACCAAGAAAAUACCUACAGUAUCGGCAUUAUUGUGAAAGCAUCGACAGCAAAGAAAAUUACGUUUCCCAAUCAGUGGAUCCCUGAAGAAGCGAAAAAGCACGGGCUGGGUAUUUCGUUAAGGUGAGCGACGGGACACGAGGAAAUUUCAGCGAAGUAUGCACCGAGGAAGAAACGACAGAGGGUUCGAGGCAAGGGAGAAAUUUGUCUGUGCUAAUUUGUUGCAGAGAUCGCGGAAUUGAAGGAGGCGCGAUGUCUCUUCCGUUGGCCCAAAGCAUUCCACCGCACGCCUUUCUUCCGGCCACCCCUGACUUUCUUCUCCACCCUCGUGAGCCUCAGCAUCCUAUCGCAUUUUCUACGAGUUCCAUUUCGAAUUAGGUACAGCUCUUUGUCGAUAAGGAAGAACGACAGUGGCGAAGGGGAGAGGAGUAGGAGAGUGGAAAUUAGCAGGAACAUCUGUUAAUUAAUUGAUAGUGUCUAAUUUGUGGCACUUUAUUACGAUAUGAAAAUAUCUAACAGCGAUAAAUUACUAAUUUAUGUUUUUUUUUAUAUCUACUGUACGUCGUUCGAACAAAAAUUUGUCGACGAUCUACUCAAUUUUUAAAUUAUAUUUUAAUGUAUUUCAAAUGCUAGAGGUAAGUUUGUAUAUUGACGUCUUGCUGGUUGAAUCAGUCAGUUUGUCAAAUCGGUAAUUAAGGAGGGAAAAAUUGCUUGAAUCUGAGCUUCCCUCUUAAUCCAAUAAAAUACACUCUCGACGUAUUAAUCAGAAACGCGGGGCAACGUGUUUCAUAAGACUCGAAGUAUCGUAAGAAGCCGGACGAAAACAUCAAUGUCAAUAAUAAUUCAUUGAUUACUUAAUUCAUAGUUACCAUGACGACCGCCUCUCGCUUUUCCCUCGCCUUCAAGCUGUUCUGUUUUUCUCGCUUCGGCGAAGGAGAGUUACGUGUUCCUUAAGCUCGCCUCACACGAAAUCGACAGAUUUCGUGCGAUCUAUGUGAUCGAUUUACUUUUUCGAAUAAACAGAAAUUCUACGUUAUUUUAAUUUCAUAUUACCUAAUAUAUGUAUGUGUAUUUUAAGAACGAUGAGUUUCAUAUUACAGGUAUAUAAGAUUCUUUAAAAGUGUAUAACUUCCACUGGCUGUUUGUAAGCUUUGCAUCAGAUUAACUAGAACGUGAAUCUCAAAUCUUCUCGUUAGAUACAUAUGAAAACAAGCACGAAUAUACGAGCAACAUGAAACUGAAAGGAUAUUUUAAUUACGCAUCCUACUUUGAACUUCAUAUUCAUUUACCAUUUCUUUUAUUAUUACUAUCAAAUAAUAUAUGUUCGAUGUUCUUCUAGAUCCAUUUUAUAUUAAAUAUUCUUCUAUAUCCACUAAAAGUUAACUACGUAGUGCCAUCGAAUAAGAAUUCGCGCAUAAAAUUAGUACAAACAUCCAUGUUUUCAACUUCAAAUAAGAACCUGUGCAAACAAAGGGUAAAUCUCAUUUUUCUUCGACCACCAUUCGCUUACUAAAAUUUAAUUACAUAGUGUCAUCGAAAGAGAAUUUCUUUCCUAUACAAAAUUACUACAAACUUUUUAUAUUUCAUCGAUUUAAAUUUCUACCAAAAUGCAAAAGAAACGAAGAAGUCGCGACAAAGUGAAUGGGACAAUCAGCCAGGCAGUGUACGUAGCUGACUACGCCGAAAGUCUGGCGCGUUGUGAGCGUCGCAUUAGCCUUGCUUACGGGUACGCAAGCAGGCAAGGAGAAACACGAAAUGAAUAUUCAGAAGUUAUUAGUCUGUAGUGAAAUGUGACGGGGCUCACCCUUCUCGAAAACCGCCCUGGCCUCCGCCACAUCGCCCACUCUUCCGUCUCAUCCUCUGACUCUCGGCUGCUCCUCCCCCCCGUCCUGGGUGCCUUCGUCUCACCUCCUCGCGCCCUCAGCGGUAUAGAUUUUGCGAUACAUCCUGGCAGAAACACUCGCGAGCGAGCGAGACGCACUGCUUGCUCCGCUCGCUGCUACCAGUCGAAGAAGGGGUUGAAGCCUCGAUGAAAUAGGGGGUUGGGUGGGAGAGAGGGCUGAAAUCGUGAGAGAUGAGAAGCUGGCAGGGAAGGGGACAAGGAACACCGGAGAGCAGGCCCGACGGGAACACGACGGAGCUAGCGAAAGAGCUUUAUGCAUAAGCUAAGAAACGCCAUUGACGGGCACUGAGCACUGUAUACAUACUUUGACUGGAACAGUGCGCUCGAUAAACAACGGUGUAGAUAGCGCCUACGUGAUGCUACCGUGUCACGUAGCCGAGAUAUUCUUCGCCCGGUAAUGCGUACAUCGUUUCUAUGUGCCGACAUCUCUAAUUGCCCUAAUUAUAUUAAUACUCGCCGCGUUUAAUGAAAUUAACGGCAAUGCACCGGUGAGAAGAAGCGUUGAUUAAGAGUUGAUGCUACUUGCAGUUUUUACGUAGUUUUCGAUGGUUCGAAGCUUCUGCACGCCUGAAGAUCGUGCAGAUUUACAUAACCAGCUAUGAGUUAAGAGACAUUUAAUAUCCUGAUAUUAGUAGGUAUAGUAAUUAAAGAAUGAAGCUGAUGCUUGUUAACCGCGUGUGUUGUGAGUGGGCUACGGAUUUUUCUGCGUUUUUUGUAUACAACAUAUCGAAGCUUUAAGACUCGUUAUAGCAUUCUUCUUCUAUUGUUAGUAGGUAAAACAAUUGUCUACCUAUAUAGAAAUUUGCAUAGAUAUCUGCAAUCUAAUUACGAGGAAAAUUAAAUUGUAUUGUAUUUUAUUAAGGGUUACAUUUAAUAAUAGCAAAGGUCUCAUGACUUGCGUACGGAUGAAAGUCUAUGUAUUGAUAUCUUGGGAAUUGUCUUCUUAUUAUAAUAAUUGUUAGCCAAGGUAGAGAACAAGGAAAUACGAAGAGAAAGAAAAGAUGACAAAAAGGAAAGGUGAAAAUUUAGAAUAUUACUGUAAAAAUAUUAAACUUAUCUACUGUGUGAAACAUUGAUUUAUGACCAUUCUCGGACCAGGAGUCGAAAAUACUUCACAAACAGAUGGAUAUCUGGGGAAACGAUACGAACGGCUAUAGAAACAGUAGCAUCUUGGAAAUGUGUUGUAGCGAACGAUAUUCAAAUGGCAUCAAUUUCUACCGAAUUGCUCCCUCUAUAUCUGGCCGCAACCUGGAUGCAAGACCUUCCUUCGACUCCCUUCGCGAAGAGGGAGGAAACCGUAUUGGCAGAUAGCUACAUCGUUUUACAACCCCUUAUCUGGAUAAGUUACGGAUAUCUAUUCACCGUUUCUCUCUCCUCCGAAACUGUCUUCGAUGGUGUCAUCGAUUUCCAUGGAAAUUCCUCUCAGAUUCUACGAUACGGAGGGGAAGCAUCUAGAACGAAUGAUAAAAAACAUAUUCGAUGCCCAUUGUCUGAUCUUAUCUCUGUGCUUUUCUAUUUGAUGAAGAUAUAUCGUGUCAUUAAAAUGUUGUCUUUUUAUAAAAUAAUCAAAUAACAGAGAUGUAUUAGACUAAGAACUGUAGAAGAAUUAUAAUUGAAAAAACGUUACGGAAUAACUUAAUAAACGUUCUGGAAUAAUUUACAUAUAACAGAUCAGCUAUUAAUAUUAAAAUCAUAUUAAAGAUGACGCGAGAAAGAUUUAAUAUGUUUGGGCAGAACGGUCGAACAUCUAGUGAAAUAUCGUGACACCCAGUACAUCGCGGCAAUUCCCUUCAUCUGCUUAUAUUACACAUACAAUAUCUGGGUAUCGAAGUCGGUUGAUCCUGGUAAGUUCUCUCCCUUGGCAGCGGGCUAUACAUCAUACUUUCUUCUUUAUUAAACUCAUAUUUUUCAAAAAGUCUCACCUCCGCUAUCUGGUGUCGGCCUCCUCUCGCUCGCAACUCGGAAAUCAGCUCCGGGGAGAACGAAAAAUUCAUUUGACUCUCGAGGAUAAGAUGAAUAUGAAAAUUGCCUGGCUAAAAAUGAUUUACAUUCGAACGUCACGUUGAUGAUAUAACUGGAGGUGACUGUCUUGUCAUGAAUAAUUUAUUCCACCGGAAAAUGAUAGAAAAAUAUAUCUAUGCUCCGUGAUAAAAAUCACUUUCCGUUUUGACCGCCCGAAACAGUAAGCAUUAUUAACAGGAAACAUAAUCUUUUAUCGAGAAUAACGGGUAUAAUUCUAUGUAAAAAUUCGGGACACGUUCAACGAUAACUGUACGAUGAUUUAAUUGUUAUACAUAUAUAUACAUAAGACAUAAGAAUGGUAUAAGAAAUCAAGAUUCAUCUCUGUGGAAAUUUUGUCUUUUCAAUAACUGAAAUGUCGAUUUAAUUCUACUACAACGAAAAAUAAAAUAUAUAAAUGUAUCACACCGUUUCCCCGUGCGAAUCAUAGCUCAACAAUUUUCAGUCAAAACAUUAUUUCACUAUGAAUGCUGUUGAGACCAGAGAGAGUUCUGAAAGAUAAAAUAUUUAUUGAACAAAUAUAUCACGCAUCGUGUUUCGAAUAUAAUACUAAUAAAUUCACAUGGUAAAACUUUUCUUAAUACGUAACUUACAUGUAAAUCAAAUUACAAAGGGUCUGUGUCGAAAAUUUCUAACGAUCACAGUAUGACUCUAAAUCACAAUGAUUGUUGCGCUAUCGUUUUUCAAAAACCAUAUUCGAAACGCUCGAGCAAUGUAUUCUUAUUCUGCUACGCAAAGUCUGGUGGGAAAAUAUAAUUCUCCGGUAGUUGGCUGACAAUGGAGCCGAAAGGAAAACGAGGGGGAAGUUCUGUAACGAGCGACGCUUUCGUCGCGUGGCGAUUUGUCUGUUCGCGGGUGGAGAAGUUCGGCCACUUUCGUUCGACGCGUCCUGGAGAGAUUGGCCGUUCCACGGGCAUAAAGAAGAAAGCCACCCCCUUUAGCCGGCUUUCAGCAAACUCUCUGCCACCCUCUCCUCAUGACCCGAAACCGCGGCCGGUUAUAAAGCAUUCUUCCAGUUUAUUAGACGGAGACUCGCGGGCUUCUUUUUAUAUUAAGCAUGUGCAUUAUUAAUGCGCGAGUAUAACCGUAAAAUGCUGAUGAAAAAAAGUUGCGGAGCCCCACGGGCGUUUCUUCGUGGCCAGGCGGGAAGAAGGCUCCUGCGAGAUUGCUGCUUGACCGACUAUUCCUUCCUCGGUUCCGCUUGAUAACGUACUACGAAUUUUCACAAACAAAUUCUCUUUCCUGUUUAAUCUAACUCACAUUUUGUAAUUUUAACGGUGCCACAAAUGUUUCAUCUUUGGUUCGGUUUUUCUUUAUGUAGUUAAUAACUUAGAGAACGAUUUGUUUGCCUUCUCUGUUCUUUGAGUAAAUACGUAGUAACAUUAAGAUGUAAUUGAUUAAAAUGCUUUUACAAUUAUUGCAAUACUUGUAAUGAAAAUAGAUCCGAGUUACCUUUCUUUUCGUUAA